This 513-nucleotide ribosomal RNA is filed under the name uncultured bacterium. RNAcentral's name for it is "partial 16S ribosomal RNA". It matches the Rfam family "Bacterial small subunit ribosomal RNA", at positions 28 to 507 of the family's 1533-position model. The record is from RNAcentral.
GACGAACGCUGGCGGCGUGCUUAACACAUGCAAGUCGAACGAAAAGAGGGAAAGAGCUUGCUCUUUCCGGAAUUGAGUGGCAAACGGGUGAGUAACACGUAAACAACCUGCCUUCAGGAUGGGGACAACAGACGGAAACGACUGCUAAUACCGAAUAAGUUCCAAGGGCCGCAUGGCCCAUGGAAGAAAAGGUGGCCUCUACCUGUAAGCUAUCGCCUGAAGAGGGGUUUGCGUCUGAUUAGCUGGUUGGAGGGGUAACGGCCCACCAAGGCGACGAUCAGUAGCCGGUCUGAGAGGAUGAACGGCCACACUGGAACUGAGACACGGUCCAGACUCCUACGGGAGGCAGCAGUGGGGAAUCUUCCGCAAGAGGCGAAAGCCUGACGGAGCAACGCCGCGUGAGUGAUGACGGCCUUCGGGUUGUAAAACUCUGUGAUCCGGGACGAAAAGGCAGAGUGCGAAGAACAAACUGCAUUGACGGUACCGGAAAAGCAAGCCACGGCUAACUACGUG